RNAcentral lists this ribosomal RNA (500 nucleotides) under uncultured bacterium. RNAcentral's name for it is "partial 16S ribosomal RNA". It matches the Rfam family "Bacterial small subunit ribosomal RNA", at positions 30 to 523 of the family's 1533-position model. The record is from RNAcentral.
AUUGAACGCUGGCGGAGUGCUUUACACAUGCAAGUCGAACGGCAGCACGGACUUCGGUCUGGUGGCGAGUGGCGAACGGGUGAGUAAUGUAUCGGAACGUGCCCAGUCGUGGGGGAUAACGUAGUGAAAAUUACGCUAAUACCGCAUACGAUCUAUGGAUGAAAGCGGGGGAUCGCAAGACCUCGCGCGAUUGGAGCGGCCGAUAUCAGAUUAGGUAGUUGGUGGGGUAAAGGCCCACCAAGCCAACGAUCUGUAGCUGGUCUGAGAGGACGACCAGCCACACUGGAACUGAGACACGGUCCAGACUCCUACGGGAGGCAGCAGUGGGGAAUUUUGGACAAUGGGCGAAAGCCUGAUCCAGCCAUUCCGCGUGCAGGAUGAAGGCCCUCGGGUUGUAAACCGCUUUUGUACAGAACGAAAAGGUUUCUACUAAUACUAGGAGCUCAUGACGGUACUGUAAGAAUAAGCACCGGCUAACUACGUGCCAGCAGCCGCCGCCA